ACCAUCCAUCUUUAGACAUCUGACGCUGAUCUAGGGACUCUUCGAUUGUUUUAUCAUGCUUCCCUUCCAGAACUCCCUGAAGAGUUAUCACAGCAUCUCUCGUUUUCUUGAGGAUACUAUUCUCAUCUUCGAUUUCCAAGCGAGUAAGGUCAUUUUGCGAUGAAGUAAGGCUAACAGCAAGUGCAAACUGGGCAGCAGCAGCCCAUCGAGAAGAUGCCAGCCAUUUCCUCUGUUUAUCCAACUGCCUAUUCUCUUCUCUGCCUACACUGUCCUCUCCCCCUCCAAGUGCUAGACUUCGCAAGUAUUGUGCAUUAG
Molecule: long non-coding RNA, 315 nt
Filed under: Gossypium barbadense (sea-island cotton)
Lineage: Eukaryota; Viridiplantae; Streptophyta; Magnoliopsida; Malvales; Malvaceae
Description: long non-coding RNA (GBAR_LNC011200)
Source: RNAcentral